RNAcentral lists this ribosomal RNA (245 nucleotides) under uncultured bacterium. Its description in RNAcentral is "partial 16S ribosomal RNA". It matches the Rfam family "Bacterial small subunit ribosomal RNA", at positions 90 to 334 of the family's 1533-position model. The record is from RNAcentral.
CCGGACCGGCGCACGGGUGAGUAACGCGUAUGCAACUUACCUAUCAGAGGGGGAGAACCCGGCGAAAGUCGGACUAAUACCGCAUGAAGCAGGGGCCCCGCAUGGGGAUAUUUGCUAAAGAUUCAUCGCUGAUAGAUAGGCAUGCGUUCCAUUAGGCAGUUGGCGGGGUAACGGCCCACCAAACCGACGAUGGAUAGGGGUUCUGAGAGGAAGGUCCCCCACAUUGGUACUGAGACACGGACCAA